GUGGGGAAUCUUCCACAAUGGACGAAAGUCUGAUGGAGCAACGCCGCGUGAGUGAAGAAGGGUUUCGGCUCGUAAAGCUCUGUUGUCGGGGACGAAUGUGCAGUAUUUGAAUAAAGUAGUGCAAUGACGGUACCUGACGAGGAAGCCACGGCUAACUACGUGCCAGCAGCCGCGGUAAUACGUAGGUGGCAAGCGUUGUCCGGAAUUAUUGGGCGUAAAGGGAGCGCAGGCGGGAAGGUAAGUCGGUCUUAAAAGUGCGGGGCUCAACCCCGUGAUGGGAGCGAAACUAUCGUUCUUGAGUGCAGGAGAGGAAAGUGGAAUUCCUAGUGUAGCGGUGAAAUGCGUAGAUAUUAGGAGGAACACCAGUGGCGAAGGCGACUUUCUGGACUGUAACUGACGCUGAGGCUCGAAAGCCAGGGGAGCGAACGGGAUUAGAUACCCCUGUAGUCC
This 450-nucleotide ribosomal RNA is filed under the name uncultured bacterium. Its description in RNAcentral is "partial 16S ribosomal RNA". It matches the Rfam family "Bacterial small subunit ribosomal RNA", at positions 354 to 796 of the family's 1533-position model. The record is from RNAcentral.